GGACGGGUGAGUAACACGUAGGUAACCUACCUAUAAGACUGGGAUAACUUCGGGAAACCGGAGCUAAUACCGGAUAAUAUUUCGAACCGCAUGGUUCGAUAGUGAAAGAUGGCUUUGCUAUCACUUAUAGAUGGACCUGCGCCGUAUUAGCUAGUUGGUAAGGUAACGGCUUACCAAGGCAACGAUACGUAGCCGACCUGAGAGGGUGAUCGGCCACACUGGAACUGAGACACGGUCCAGACUCCUACGGGAGGCAGCAGUAGGGAAUCUUCCGCAAUGGGCGAAAGCCUGACGGAGCAACGCCGCGUGAGUGAUGAAGGUCUUCGGAUCGUAAAACUCUGUUAUUAGGGAAGAACAAACGUGUAAGUAACUGUGCACGUCUUGACGGUACCUAAUCAGAAAGCCACGGCUAACUACGUGCCAGCAGCCGCGGUAAUACGUAGGUGGCAAGCGUUAUCCGGAAUUAUUGGGCGUAAAGCGCGCGUAGGCGGUUUUUUAAGUCUGAUGUGAAAGCCCACGGCUCAACCGUGGAGGGUCAUUGGAAACUGGAAAACUUGAGUGCAGAAGAGGAAAGUGGAAUUCCAUGUGUAGCGGUGAAAUGCGCAGAGAUAUGGAGGAACACCAGUGGCGAAGGCGACUUUCUGGUCUGUAACUGACGCUGAUGUGCGAAAGCGUGGGGAUCAAACAGGAUUAGAUACCCUGGUAGUCCACGCCGUAAACGAUGAGUGCUAAGUGUUAGGGGGUUUCCGCCCCUUAGUGCUGCAGCUAACGCAUUAAGCACUCCGCCUGGGGAGUACGACCGCAAGGUUGAAACUCAAAGGA
This 822-nucleotide ribosomal RNA is filed under the name Staphylococcus sp. NIOT-MK18. RNAcentral describes it as "bacterial SSU rRNA". It matches the Rfam family "Bacterial small subunit ribosomal RNA", at positions 100 to 908 of the family's 1533-position model. Lineage: Bacteria; Bacillati; Bacillota; Bacilli; Caryophanales; Staphylococcaceae. The record is from RNAcentral.